AUUGGGAUAAAUGUCCCUCUUUUCCUGAAAACGGGGAGGCCCGCAUCUCUCUCUAAACAAUGUGAUUUCUUUCUCCCUCUCUAAACCUCGCUUGUCAAAGUCUCUUCCUCUCUCAUUUUCUUCUCUCCAGAUUUUCUCUAACAGGUAGCAGCAGAGAGCAGUCGAUAUUUUUCAUUCUACAAAUCUCUCUCUUUCUCUCUUACUUAUAACAAUCUGCUUUGAAUUUGAAAUUACUGCACUCCAUUUUUGCUCUCUUACUUAUAACAAUCUGCUUUUAAUUUGAAAUUAAUGCACUCUAUUUUUGCUGUUUUAUUGGUGAAAGUUCAUACAUUUUAUUGCUGACGAUCUCUCUCUACCAGUCUCUCUUUACAAUCUUCUGUCAAUUUGCAAGUAUCCGUCUCUGUCUUGGCUUUUGACUGUGUUUUAUUGGUGACAGUUUCUGUGGCUUUCUGCGAUUUCGCCAAGGUAAUCUCUCUCUCUAUUCCUUUCUAUGAUCUUGGAAUUUGCGUCUCUCUAUUAUAUAUGUUUGAUAUGUUUUUCUUAGUCUUACGUUUUCUCCUCUUUCUCC
This 568-nucleotide long non-coding RNA is filed under the name Amborella trichopoda. RNAcentral describes it as "long non-coding RNA (ATRI_LNC004043)". The record is from RNAcentral. Lineage: Eukaryota; Viridiplantae; Streptophyta; Magnoliopsida; Amborellales; Amborellaceae.